RNAcentral lists this ribosomal RNA (264 nucleotides) under uncultured archaeon. RNAcentral describes it as "partial 16S ribosomal RNA". It matches the Rfam family "Archaeal small subunit ribosomal RNA", at positions 717 to 982 of the family's 1478-position model. The record is from RNAcentral.
ACACGACUACAUUAGAUACCCGGGUAGUCCCAGCCGUAAACGAUACUCGCUAGGUGUCGGCCACGGUGCGACCGUUGUCGGUGCCGUAGGGAAGCCGUGAAGCGAGCCACCUGGGAAGUACGGCCGCAAGGCUGAAACUUAAAGGAAUUGGCGGGGAGCACCACAACGGGUGGAGCUUGCGGUUUAAUUGGAUUCAACGCCGGAAAUCUUACCGGGACCGACAGCAACAUGAAGGCCAGGCUGAAGACUUUGCCGGAUUAGCUG